CCAAUAGCGUAUAUUAAAGUUGUUGCAGUUAAAAAGCUCGUAGUUGAAUUUCGGGAUCAGUACGCUGGUCAUGCCUUUGGUAUGCACUGGUGUCACUGGUUUCUCCCUUCUGAAGAACCGUGAUGUCAUUAAUUUGGUGUCGCGGGGAAUCAGGACUGUUACUUUGAAAAAAUUAGAGUGUUUAAAGCAGGCUCACGCUUGAAUACAUUAGCAUGGAAUAAUGAAAUAGGACGUUUGACCGUAUUUUGUUGGUUUCUAGGAUCGACGUAAUGAUUAAUAGAGAUAGUGGGGGGCAUUAGUAUUCAAUUGUCAGAGGUGAAAUUCUUGGAUUUACUGAAGACUAACUACUGCGAAAGCAUUUGCCAAGGAUGUUUUCAUUAAUCAAGAACGAAAGUUAGGGGAUCGAAGACGAUCAGAUACCGUCGUAGUCUUAACCAUAAACUAUGCCGACUAGGGAUCGGAUGAUGUUAAUUUUAUAAUGACUCAUUCGGCGCCUUACG
This 500-nucleotide ribosomal RNA is filed under the name uncultured Glomeromycotina. RNAcentral describes it as "partial small subunit ribosomal RNA". It matches the Rfam family "Eukaryotic small subunit ribosomal RNA", at positions 591 to 1092 of the family's 1831-position model. Lineage: Eukaryota; Fungi; Glomeromycota. The record is from RNAcentral.